GAAAUGCGAUAAGUAGUGUGAAUUGCAGAAUUCAGUGAAUCAUCGAAUCUUUGAACGCACAUUGCGCCCUUUGGUAUUCCUUAGGGCAUGCCUGUUCGAGCGUCAUCUAAACCUUCAAGCCCUGCUUGGUGUUGGGUGCCUGUCCCGCCUCCGCGCGCGGACUCACCUCAAAUCCAUUGGCGGCCCCCGCGUCGGCCACGAGCGCAGCAGAAACGCGAACUCGUGAGCCCGUCCGGGCGGCUCCCAGAAGCUACACCCACCCAGUUUGACCUCGGAUCAGGUAGGGAUACCCGCAGAACAUAAGC
This 305-nucleotide unclassified non-coding RNA is filed under the name plant metagenome. RNAcentral's name for it is "partial contains 5.8S ribosomal RNA, internal transcribed spacer 2, and large subunit ribosomal RNA". The stretch from base 1 to 105 matches the Rfam family "5.8S ribosomal RNA", at positions 50 to 154 of the family's 154-position model. The record is from RNAcentral.